RNAcentral lists this long non-coding RNA (344 nucleotides) under Daucus carota (carrot). RNAcentral describes it as "long non-coding RNA (DCAR_LNC001736)". Lineage: Eukaryota; Viridiplantae; Streptophyta; Magnoliopsida; Apiales; Apiaceae. The record is from RNAcentral.
GAAAGAUGAUAAGCCGCCUCAAGAGAUAAAUGAGAGCAUUCCAGCUCCAGGAGAAAAAGAUGAUAAGCGGCCUCAAGAGACGAAAGAGAGCAUUCCAGCUGAUGAUAAGCCGCCUCAAGAGACGAAGGAGAGCAUUCCAGCACCCGGAGAAAAAGAUGAUAAGCCGCCUCAAGAGACGAAGGAGAGCAUUCCAGCACCCGGAGAAAAAGAUGAUAAGCCGCCUCAAGAGACGAAGGAGAGCAUUCCAGAUCCUGAAAUAAAAGAUGAUAAGCCGCCUCAACAGACGAAAGAGAGCAUUCCAGCUGAUGAUAAGCCGCCUCAAGAGACGAAGGAGAGCAUUCCAG